RNAcentral lists this ribosomal RNA (641 nucleotides) under uncultured Syntrophobacterales bacterium. Its description in RNAcentral is "bacterial SSU rRNA". It matches the Rfam family "Bacterial small subunit ribosomal RNA", at positions 39 to 666 of the family's 1533-position model. The record is from RNAcentral. Lineage: Bacteria; Pseudomonadati; Thermodesulfobacteriota; Syntrophobacteria; Syntrophobacterales.
GCGGCGUGCUUAACACAUGCAGUCGAACGUGAAAACUGCCUUCGGGCGGUGAGUAAAGUGGCGCACGGGUGAGUAACGCGUGGGUAAUCUACCCCGAGGCCUGGGAUAACCAGCCGAAAGGCUGGCUAAUACCGGGUAAUGUCCCGCUACACAAGUGACGGGACCAUAGGAGGCUCUGCUUCCGCCACGGGAUGAGCCCGCGUACCAUUAGCUAGUUGGUGGGGUAACGGCCUACCAAGGCGACGAUGGUUAGCUGGUCUGAGAGGACGAUCAGCCACACUGGAACUGAGACACGGUCCAGACUCCUACGGGAGGCAGCAGUGGGGAAUAUUGCGCAAUGGGGGAAACCCUGACGCAGCGACGCCGCGUGAGCGAUGAAGGCCCUCGGGUCGCAAAGCUCUGUCAGGUGGGAAGAACCCUCCGAUGGCGAAUAACCGUCGGAGCUGACGGUACCACCAGAGGAAGCACCGGCUAACUCCGUGCCAGCAGCCGCGGUAACACGGAGGGUGCGAGCGUUGUUCGGAAUCACUGGGCGUAAAGGGCGCGCAGGCGGUCCGGUCAGUCGGAAGUGAAAUCCAUCGGCUCAACCGAUGAACGGCUUCCGAUACUGCCGGACUUGAGUACGGGAGAGGAAAGCGGAA